Lates calcarifer (barramundi perch) is the source of this 2978-nucleotide long non-coding RNA. RefSeq lists it as uncharacterized. Lineage: Eukaryota; Metazoa; Chordata; Actinopteri; Centropomidae. The transcript is spliced from 2 exons. The record is from RefSeq and is a predicted model, not a curated record.
UCAAACGCUGCACGCUCGAAAUUCCUCCAAGGAACCUCUGCGAGCUUUUCUUUUUUCAUCACGCGCGAGCUAAAAAUAGAAACGGGGUUGGAUCGUGAUCCAGAAAUAGAUAGGGGGCAUCACUCCUAUAAAAGGCACACCAUUCAAGAGUACAGUGUGUGCACAGUUUGAAGAAGAGAAAAGCUAGAGCAUAUUUUAUGGAGAAACAAGCUUUUUUUGUGGUCCCUUUUAUUCACUGUGGCACGUUUCGUGUUUUUAAAGGAGGCUCCGCUGCUACAAUGGUUGUCCACAUCACACACACACACACGCUGCGCUGGGAAACAAUAGCAGUGACCAAUCCACAACGAGGUCAGCAGGUGGAAUCCACAGAGUGAGUGGGAAACGCUGUAAGAGGGAAGUAAAAGAUAGUUUUUCUAUCAUAUUUAGUAACAACAGCUGCUAGCAUGCUCAUGAAGCAGUGACGUAACCCCCACUUCCCCACCACUUGCAGUGCAUUUACUUUGUGUGUCAGUGUAAGAUUUUGUUGUAUUUGAAGUUUUCUUUUUCUUCUUCUUGAUCAUCACAUAUUACAAGAAUGGAAAUAUAUUUUGGAAUUGAUCAGGUUAUAGUGGGUCUUGCUUAGCAGCAUUAUCUGUAAUUUAAAAAAAAAAAAAAGAGGCUGAGCCCAAAUUACAUUAUGAGCCCAAAUUACAUUAUGCAGUUACCAGCCAUGUAAGUAAUUUCAUUUGUUCCUUUUCAGGCUCAGCGCUAAAACUGACACAAAGUGUCACAACAUGACGUCAUGUUGAAUCUCAAACAUUCCUAAUAUUUCAAAGUGCAAACACUUCAACUGGCAGCACACAUGGUAACUUUAAUCCAUCCCAUGCUGCCAUGAAAUUCAGCUGUUUUAUCAAAUCUCCACGGAGUCUUCAGAUUAUUGCACACUUUUAAUAAUGAUUAACAGACCUGAGCACAUCCUCAAGAAAAUCUGAGGUGACACAUGAUUCUCUUGUGUGUAUUCAGAGAGAAUGUUUAAGUGAUUCUCUCAGUUACAUAGAAUGUGGUUUUUGGUAAAGUGUGAUUUACACAAGUGACUGACCCCCCCCCCAGCACUGGCUUUGGGAUUCCCCAGCCCCUGUGUCCUGGGGUCUCACCCAUACCCAAGAGCGAGUAGUGAACCCCCUCCCUCCCUCAGCCCCGGUGGAGCAGCCCAGCAGUUCACACAGUAGGCAGCUCCUGGUUUGGGAGAGUGAGAAUGUGCCUAAGCUUCCUUCUCACUGCACUUUCCCCUCCAGGCCAUCUUUUUAAUCAGCUCACCUGCUUAAAGGAGAGUUAGUAACAAUUACACAAAAGUCAGAAUACACACACUGCUCAGAAGGCAGUGUGUCUCUAUAGUUUUUAGUUAUAGAAAUUGAAAGAAAAAAACAUUAUGUGAUGUCCACAGUGAAGGACAGCCAUUAUUCCUGUUUUAUAGAAAUCAAAGGAAUAUUGGACUUUACUGGAAGAUAUACUGAGUUUAGAUCCAGGGAGCAAAGAUGUGGUGUGUCUUUUUCUCUCUACUGGGUCACUUCAUGCGUCACUGUAAACACAUUACGCCUUGUAUUGUGAAUCAGAGGGUGAUUUGGGAUUUUGAAUUAGUUUUUGUGUUUUUUUUAAUCAGUGUUUAUGAGUGGACAAGUGUUAAGACUUUACACAGAGUUCAACUGAGCAACAUUACAUGAAAUAAUGUUUCUAAAUGUAUUAGAAUACACCAUCUCCUUUUUUCUUUUUCUUUGUCAGAGCAGGUUGUGUGUAUGGAAAUAAUGUGUAUCUUUGUUAUAAUGUUAAUUUUACAGAUGUAGGAGUGUGUGUGUGUGUGUAUGCGUGUGUGUGUGUGUAUUUGUAAUAGAAAGAGAGAGUCUCUACAAUUAUUGCUAAAAUAGAGUCUGAAAUUAGACAAGGUGUACAUGCAUGUGUCCUUCAUUCACAAACUUGGAGUAUUUACAGUGGCCUACAGUAUACAUUACUGUUCAGUCAGUUAUUAGAACGAACAGUUGAUCUCACUGCCUGUAUUUUUCAGACGUACACUCAGACACUUAACUGUGGUUAAAUGAAAAUCUGCAAUCAUUUCUUCUCGUGCUUCAUAGGUCGAAGAAAUAUUCAACUGUGCUGAUCUGGAAAAAAAUCAGACAGAUAUUUACUGUUUAAGGCUUCAAAUGCAGAUUUAUGAAAAUGUGGAACCCCUUGAAAUACGUCAUGAAGCUCCUCAUCUGCCCCUGAAUAAUUGAUUUGUGAUGUUGUUCUUUGUUUAACAACAGAUGACAAAGAGAGGACAAGACACAGAGAGCAAAUUGUGUGCAUGGAGUCAUACAUUCUUGUUAUGGUCUUUAGAUGUAGGAAUGUAUGUGUGUGUGUUACCCUGUGUUACCUUUUACCUGCGCUUUUAUUCCUUCUCUUCAUGUGUGUUCUCCUGUCUCCCUGGUUGUUAAGUUAAUUUGAUUUAAUUUAAUAUUUUAUCUCACACUUUCUUAUUUUGUCAUGCUUUUUCCCUUUUUCAAAAUGUAUAAAUAUCGCCUGUGGACUAUAUAACAAACUUCGAUAAUUAGAUUUAGAAAAAAAAAAAAUUAUAGCCAUAUUCCAAGAAUGACUGAAUGUAUUAUUAGUAAAUUUACCUCAUUUGCUGUGAUAAUGAACAGACAUCUAACUUCUUAACUGUGCCCUAUUAACUGUGUGUGUUUUGUUUCAGAGGAGAGAGACUUGUGUGCAUGCUCACUCUUACCCUUAAGACUGUUUGGGGUUUGUAUCUUAUGUUUUGAAUUUACAGUUUUUAGCUUUAAUCUACAAUUAUUUUGCUUUUUACACUUAGUACAGUUUUGCAUGUCUGUUCUAUGUCGCACUGUGGUCCGUGAGGAAUGACAUUCUGUUUCCUUAUAUCUGUAUAUAAGAAAUGUAUAUGUCUGUGUGAAAUGUGAACAUUUCUCUGUAAAAUAACACAUGGAAAUAAACAUUAAAAAACUGAA